GAAAUGCGAUAAGUAGUGUGAAUUGCAGAAUUCAGUGAAUCAUCGAAUCUUUGAACGCACAUUGCGCCCUUUGGUAUUCCUUAGGGCAUGCCUGUUCGAGCGUCAUUUUAACCUUCAAGCUCUGCUUGGUGUUGGGUGUCUGUCCUGCCUCCGGGCGUGGACUCGCCUUAAAAUUAUUGGCGGCCGGUACAUUGGCUUCGAGCGCAGCAGAAACGCGAACUCGGGGUCGGUGUGGUGGCUCCCAUAAGCAUUUUUUAUAAUCUUGACCUCGGAUCAGGUAGGGAUACCCGCUGAACUUAA
Molecule: unclassified non-coding RNA, 300 nt
Filed under: uncultured fungus
Lineage: Eukaryota; Fungi
Description: sequence contains ITS1
Rfam family: 5.8S ribosomal RNA (bases 1-105)
Source: RNAcentral